This 73-nucleotide transfer RNA is filed under the name Stegodyphus mimosarum. It matches the Rfam family "tRNA". Rfam says of the family: Transfer RNA (tRNA) molecules are approximately 80 nucleotides in length. Their secondary structure includes four short double-helical elements and three loops (D, anti-codon, and T loops). The record is from Rfam by way of RNAcentral. Lineage: Eukaryota; Metazoa; Arthropoda; Arachnida; Araneae; Eresidae.
ACCUUUGUGGUGUAAUAGUCAGCACGCUCGGCUCGUAUUCGAGAGGUACGAGGAUCGAGUCUCGGCGAGGGCA